This is a long non-coding RNA of Populus euphratica (Euphrates poplar), 635 nucleotides long. RefSeq lists it as uncharacterized. The transcript is spliced from 2 exons. Lineage: Eukaryota; Viridiplantae; Streptophyta; Magnoliopsida; Malpighiales; Salicaceae. The record is from RefSeq and is a predicted model, not a curated record.
UCCGGAGGCCGCGGGAUGUGUUCAAGAUUUGAAGAUUUUCUUUACAUAAAACCUCAAGAUUAGGAUUUAUUGUAUUUAUUCCAGAAAUGGGGACAGAAUUCCCGAAUGUUCAAGCCGUUGAAUGUAUAUUAAGUUCCGUAAAUUGAUCUUGUGAAGUACGAUCAUCUUGGCUUUGCCAUUUUAAGAAAUUUCCUCCAGAAAUUCAUUCAAGCAUUUGGUUUUACAGUUCCUCAGGUAUCCCCUCCUACAAACGUUUAACUAUUAAACACAAAUCCCCUCAGGUAUCCCCUCCUACAAACGUUUAACUAUUAAACACAAAUCCCCUCAGGUAUCCCCUCCUACAAACGUUUAACUAUUAAACACAAAUCCCCUCAGGUAUCCCCUCCUACAAACGUUUAACUAUUAAACACAAAUCCUAAUUGUUUCAUACUGCUUAUUAAUUUCACCAAUCUUGCAGCGGUGCAUUUAAGUUCAGUGACUCAGACAUCAGAAUGUUAAAUGGCAAAACCUGCUAGCUUCAACAUUCCUCCCCAACCACUCCCCCCCACCCCCCGGCUCUACAAUAAUUACAGUAAAGUAUCUUGCAAAUAGAGCCCAAGUUGCACCAGUUGGUCCACGAUUGUGGAAAAUGUGGA